AUGUCUGGGCUUAAGAUCAAUUUUGAGAAGAGUGAAAUAUUUAGUAUCGGGGGGGAUAAUGAUACUGAUUUGGUGUAUGCCAACAUGUUUGGGUGUCAAGUGGGCACACUUCCCAUGAAAUAUCUGGGAGUCCCUGUUACUUAUUCUACCCUCAAGAAUGCGGAUCUAGAUUUCCUUGACGGAAAAAUGAUCAAAAAACUUGAUGCCUGGGUAGCAUAUGCAGCAUCUUCUGGAGCUAGACUAACGUUGCUAGGGUCCAGUUUGGAUGGAAUUCCCUCUUUCCUCAUGUCAAUGUUCCUUUUUAAUAAGACCUUUAUUGAGAAGCUGGAUAAACAUCGCAGACGUUUCUUUUGGAGGAGGAAAAAUAAGAAACAUGGAUACCAUAUGGUUAAGUGGACGAGGAUAUGUCGAUCGAAAAGGAUUGGGGGAUUAGGGAUUAAAGAUCUUCAUAAACAAAAUAUUGCCCUACUUGUUAAGUGGUGGUGGAAGUUAGAAACAAGUGAUGGGCUAUGGCAGCGUAUUGUAAGAGUUAGAUACUUCAGGAACAAAACAGUGGCUACCAUUCGGAGCCGCUUUUCGGACUCUCCUUGCUGGAAAGCAAUUAUGAAGGUCAAGGAUUCUUAUAUGGCAGGAAGAAAAGUUAAAAUCGAAAGUGCAAACCUGGCUAGGGUCUGGUAUGAUCCGUGGGCUGAGAAUAUUGCGUUGAAAGAUCACUUUCCUGAUCUAUUUGGUAUUUGCCAGGAGCAGGAAUGCACGGUUGCAUCUUGGGCGACUAACAACUAUGAGCUGGGCUUUAGACGUAGACUGGUUGGGGUGUUGGGUGAGCAG
Molecule: ribosomal RNA, 828 nt
Filed under: Triticum aestivum (bread wheat)
Lineage: Eukaryota; Viridiplantae; Streptophyta; Magnoliopsida; Poales; Poaceae
Description: partial small subunit ribosomal RNA
Source: RNAcentral